UGCAGUGACAGUCCACAGCCUCCAACUUAGUCCUCUCCAUUUUUUUUUGAAUCUUAGGACAAAGAGAUCUUGUAAUUUUAUCCAAGCCUUCUCUUUAGCUUAGAACCGCUAUAUCAAUAGUCUCCUAAUAGUCUCCAACAGGUGAUAAUAGAUUUGUCUCAAGUAUCUAUUUUAUACUUGUUGAAGGACUCGCAUAUGUUGUUCAACAACAUGCUCGACUUGCUUCUAGGAUUGAAGGCAUGCUUUGACCACAACUC
RNAcentral lists this long non-coding RNA (257 nucleotides) under Elaeis guineensis (African oil palm). RNAcentral describes it as "long non-coding RNA (EGUI_LNC007836)". The record is from RNAcentral. Lineage: Eukaryota; Viridiplantae; Streptophyta; Magnoliopsida; Arecales; Arecaceae.